Zea mays is the source of this 423-nucleotide long non-coding RNA. RefSeq lists it as uncharacterized. The transcript has 2 exons. Lineage: Eukaryota; Viridiplantae; Streptophyta; Magnoliopsida; Poales; Poaceae. The record is from RefSeq and is a predicted model, not a curated record.
CAACCCAUCUGUCGUCGGCCCGUCGCACAUCCGCCGCCCUCGCCCAGCACAGCGCAGCCGCACAGGCACACCGCACACAGCCGCCACAGCUAGUCGCCAUUGUUCACGGCUGCUCAGCGCUCCAUACCGUGCCCCCAAAUUCCGUGACUCAUCUUCCUUCUCUCUGCCGGGCUGCGCGUGCAGACCACGGACGAACGCACUGCCCCCAAUCCACUGGUUUUUGCUGUUCGGAGUUGGCGCUCGUUUUUCAUUUUCAAUAUCCACUUGUUAUAUUGUAAACUUGUGAUCAAUUUGUUAUAUUGUGAACUUGUGAUUUAUGGGAUUAAUUUGUAAUAUUGUGAACUUGUGAUCUGUGUGAUCCAUUAUUAUAUUGUGAACUUGUGAUAUUGUGAAUUGUGAACAUGUGAUAUUGAAAAUUGUGAA